This 468-nucleotide ribosomal RNA is filed under the name uncultured bacterium. Its description in RNAcentral is "partial 16S ribosomal RNA". It matches the Rfam family "Bacterial small subunit ribosomal RNA", at positions 28 to 507 of the family's 1533-position model. The record is from RNAcentral.
GAUGAACGCUGGCGGCGUGCUUAACACAUGCAAGUCGAACGGAAAGGCCCAAGCUUGCUUGGGUACUCGAGUGGCGAACGGGUGAGUAACACGUGGGUGAUCUGCCCUGCACUUCGCGAUAAGCCUGGGAAACUGGGUCUAAUACCGGAUAGGACCACGUCUUGGAUGUUGUGGUGGAAAGUUUUUUCGGUGUGGGAUGAGCUCGCGGCCUAUCAGCUUGUUGGUGGGGUAAUGGCCUACCAAGGCGUCGACGGGUAGCCGGCCUGAGAGGGUGUACGGCCACAUUGGGACUGAGAUACGGCCCAGACUCCUACGGGAGGCAGCAGUGGGGAAUAUUGCACAAUGGGCGCAAGCCUGAUGCAGCGACGCCGCGUGGGGGAUGACGGCCUUCGGGUUGUAAACUCCUUUCGCUAGGGACGAAGCGUUUUUGUGACGGUACCUGGAGAAGAAGCACCGGCUAACUACGUG